UUCCAAUAAGUGAAAGACCGCUCCGAGAUGCGAAAGUGCAUUGGAACCCUCGAUUACUCGAUGAGUUAAAUUGAGGUGUGAGUUGGAGAUGGAGUUGAUUGAGUUUCGAGGACGAAACUCUUAUUAAGGAGGGGAGAAUGUAAGGUACCGAACUUCUAAAAUUAUGAAGUUACGUUGUCCAUUUGGUUGGAGAGCCAUUUGAAUGGUUCCGGUAAGGUUGCGGUGUAAUGUAAUAUACCGGAUUUAAAUAUAAAAAUAAAAAUAAAUAAAAAUAGUAUGAGAUACUAUUUUUAUUGGAUUUGGAGAAGUGAAAUAUGAGUUAGAAAUGACUUGUGCUGAAAUCGGAAUGAAAACAGAAGAUUUAGAAUUUUCUGUGAGAGACGGGGCAGAUAAAUUAGCAGAAAAUGCACAGUCUCAGAAAAUUAUGAAAAUUGGAGGACAAGUCAGAAAUAUUUUUAUGAGGCUAGAUUUAAGGUUUCAUAUUUUUCUGACACCCGUAGAGUGAGAAAUAAAAUCCGACAGUUAUCUGAUAAAGAUUACAGUUCGGUACAGUUUUCAGUGACCAAACGGGGUCGAAACUGAAAAGUUAAGAUAUAUUCUUACUCAGUACGUUAAACUGAGUCUGCCUGUCAAAUUUGAGCUCAAUCGGACAUUCAGAAGGGUUCCGAUGGAACUUAUCAGAUUUGAGGGACUAAACUGAAAAGUGGAAUAGUUGAGGGGGCUGCUUGUGGAAAAGAGCAUUGCUCUUCUUCUCCUCCCUCAACCUGCGUACACAACCAGCCCCAAACCGACACACCCACACACGCAUGGAUAGGAGAAGAGAACCCUCUCUUUCUCUCUCUAAAUCUCUCCCAAAAUUAAAGGAAUUAGUGGAGAUUGAAGCUUGGAGGUGAAUCGUCAUCAUCUUCUUCAUCUUCUCCAUGGAUUGAAGCUAGUUUUGAGGUAAGGUUUUGCUACCCUUUAAUGGUAGAUCUCUAGAUAUGGGGUUUUGAUCUCUAGAAAUGGAUUUAGAGCUAUUCUAGAAUGCUAAAUAGACGAUUGAUGCUUGAAUCAUAGAUCGAUUUAAUGAUUUAUUGCCUAGUUGUAACAUAGGGCUCUAAAAUGCAAGUUUUGCUACUAGUAGGGUUUGAUCUCAUUUAACCCUCUGUAAACCUAAUUGAUAGGUCACUGAACGCGUUGGAAGCGACGGUUCGGCGUUGGAAGCGACGGUUCGGCGAUUCGUCGAGCCGGUGCAAAGUUAUUAAAGAAACGGACGUUUAGGCUUCGUUUCCGCCUGGAGGGCCGAGGCGACGUCGUAAAAUCGUGGAAACGGAUUUGAAGCACCGUAGCGAGAAACCGAAGACCUAUAAUUUCCAGAUCGCGGAUCGGAGGUCGUUUGGUGGUCGCGCACCGAUUGGGUCGAGCCGAGCGGCGUGCGCCGCGGGAGGCCGAUUGCAAGUGACGACGAGCAAUCGGAACGCGGUAAAAGGUGGGGGAGUGCCAUCCCGAAGCAAUCGGGUUUCUCCUUAUGUCUAAGUAUUUCUAUGUUGAUCAAUUAUGCAUAUUGAGCAUGAUGCAUUAUAGGGUGAUAGUUGAUGGUUGGUUCUAUAUAUAUAUAUAUUGCAUGCUUCUUGAAAGAGUAAUGUAUUUGGCUUAGUGCUUAUAUCUAGCAUGCUUGAGGUUUAUAUAUGCGAUGUGAAACCCUAUAAGAAAUGAUAGGUGUAGAUGAGAACUUAGUAAUAUAUUGGCUAUUGCAUUGGAAACUUUAAACAUGUCAUUGAUCAAGUUGCAUAUUAUGAUGUUGCAUAUAGGGUGUUUAGAAACUUGUAUCUAUAUUUGCAUGCUAGUGGUAAUGUAGCUUGGUAGAUAUAACACUUGAAUCUAGUAUGCAUGAAGUUAGUAUGUGCACCUUAACCCUAUAUGAGAUAAUAUGUAACGGAUUGGAACCUAGGCAAAUGAUAACCUAGUGUUUGUGUUGUGUGAACGAAGAACCUAGUAAAGUGUGAACUAGAGUCUUGGAAACUUGUAAAGGACGAGUGGCAUCUAGUUAAUGUUAACCUAUGACGAGUGGCAUCUAGUUGAUAGCACAUAUGAGAACCUUAGUGUAGUUGAAACACUAGAAGGUUGAGUAUUAGAUUGGCAUUGAGUUGAUGAGUUGUUAACCCUAGAUAAUAGGGUGUUCCCAGUGGAUGACACUAUCCUUAGUUGAUAGGAUGUUCCCAGUUCAUGAGAUUGGAUCGAGCUCACAUAGCCUGUCUGCACCUGUGGAGGUCGCUCCUCACAGGUAGUGCACUCCGGAGUUUGGCACGCGAGGGGGCCAGUGUAGUUGCCCUUGGACCAGUGUAGUGUCCGCAGGCGGUCUCGGGGUAGGUGAAGAGCUAGCCACCUCCCUAGGAGAUUGAUACACGUGAGACAGUGUGCGAGCCUUGUGUUCGCUGAGAGAUUGGGUGAUCAGAUGAAUGACAUCGUUGUUGAACCUAGUAGCAUGGUAGCUAACCUUUACUAUGAGUUGCAUCGACAUUGAGCAUAGUCACUUGGUAGUUGGACUAGUGGAUUUGCCUACAUACAGUGAGUGGACAUACUAUUCCUUCACCUAUGAGAUUUGAGAGGGACAGCUUGUACCUAGUAGAGCGAGAUUGAGUCGGGCAAGGAGCGGGGUAGCUCUUUGCCUAGGACCUUUGAGAUUGAGUCGGGCGAGGAGCGGGGUAGCUCUUUGCCUAGGACUUUCGAGAUUGGGUCGACCUAUGAAGAUACAGUCGGCAAGGAGCGGGGUAGCUCUUUGCUAGGACUUGAGAUUUGAGACCUAGGCAAUUUGGCCUAAUUGAUGGGUGUAACAGGAAUUGAUUAAGUGGAUUGCAUUUCAUACGAUGAUUAGACAUAGUAGACUUGCAUACUAUGUUUAGUUGUAUUUCAUUUCACUGUUGAAACAUACUAGCAUGGGGAUAGGUAGAUAUUUGCUAGUGACUAUGUGCCCGAUGCAUUCCUUAUUUAAUUGAGCAUAGUAGAAUAUAGUAGCCCACGGCCAUUUAUUUCCACUAUAUCUUUCUUAUCUAUCUAUCUGUGCCAGCUUAGACUUAGUGGGGAGAAAUAUCGCGGAGUCGGCGGCCGAACCCACUGGGAACUAUAUUUUAAUAGUUCUGCACCGAGUUUCGGUGCAACUGCGUCUCUCUUGCUCGAUUAGCGACUCAAGACGGCGCAAUGUCGACGCGCGACGCCAGUGAGGUUUGUGGAUUUUGGGGUACAGGUACCCAUUAGUGGGACACACGAGAAGCCGCAAUGCGGCAGAGGAAUCACGGUAUUGGGCUUAGCGCCCUAGAUUUUUUUGGCCUAUUGGGUAUUUACUUUCCUAUUUUGGCAUUAGAGUUACCCAUUACACCUGUAUUGAGAGUAGAUGAUGUAUAGGUGUGAGGCUGUUUUGAGAUAAAUGUAAACUAAUGUUUAUACUUUGGAUGAAUGUAAAGCUAAGUUGUAAUUAAAUGUAUCAAGUUGAAUGGUUGUAAUAGAAUAGUUAAGUAUCUCUCUUUUGUUUCACUUGUAUGUCUACUACUUGUGACGCUUGCUCUUGUAAUGUUCAGCACUGUUUGUGCUCUCGCUGUUGUUGCAUGAUCAUGUAUGUAUUCAAGUUGAUUUCCUGGGGACUUGUUGUACAUGAUCUCGUUGUUGAGCCUUGGGCGGACAGGGGAGGUGCUGUCCGUUCGGCGGUCCGCCUGCCGCGCUCGAACCGUGCCAAAUCGGUAGCGGCCUCGGGGCGCGGGGCGUGACAGCCUUCAUAGCCACACCAUCGGGAUUUGAGGUUCCCGAACCGGCCGGCACCGCCGUGACUGGCACAGCGGUCGCAGCCACACCCUCGGUCGCACUCGGCACCACUACAGGGGGCGCAGGGUGCUCGGCGCCCACUUGAGCCGCCACCGCUUGCUGUCGCUCUAAGGCCUCUUGAAGCCUUUGAAUUUGCUCCCCUUGGCGCUGCACGGACUCCGCUUGUUGUCGCACUACUCCAAUAAGUGCGGACAUUUGCUCCCGAAGCUCCUCGUCGCCACUUGCCCCGGAUUGCUC
RNAcentral lists this long non-coding RNA (4032 nucleotides) under Ananas comosus (pineapple). RNAcentral's name for it is "long non-coding RNA (ACOM_LNC024340)". Lineage: Eukaryota; Viridiplantae; Streptophyta; Magnoliopsida; Poales; Bromeliaceae. The record is from RNAcentral.